GAUGAACGCUAGCGGCAGGCUUAAUACAUGCAAGUUGAGGGGCAGCAUGAUAUACGCGAGUAUAUUGAUGGCGACCGGCGGACGGGUGAGUAAUAGGUAGGAGACCUACCUCAUACAGGGGGAUAGCAUAGAGAAAUCUGUGGUAAUACCCCAUGAGGUUAUAUGAAUAGAGGCAUAUAAUCAAAGCAUAAGUGAUUAUGCGGUAUGAGAGGGGCCUACUGACCAUUAGCUAGUUGGUGAGGUAAGGGCUCACCAAGGCGAAGAUGGUUAGGGGUUUUGAGAGAGAGACCCCCCACAUUGGAACUGAGAGACGGUCCAGACUCCUACGGGAGGCAGCAGUAGGGAAUAUUGGGCAAUGGGCGAAAGCCUGACCCAGCCAUGCCGCGUGAAGGAAGACGGCCUUAUGGGUUGUAAACUUCUUUACUACGCGAAUAGAGGUUAGUACGAGAUACUAAUAGGAAGGUAGUGUAGUAAAACGCACCGGCUAACUCCGUGCC
This 497-nucleotide ribosomal RNA is filed under the name uncultured bacterium. Its description in RNAcentral is "bacterial SSU rRNA". It matches the Rfam family "Bacterial small subunit ribosomal RNA", at positions 28 to 509 of the family's 1533-position model. The record is from RNAcentral.